This 673-nucleotide ribosomal RNA is filed under the name uncultured archaeon. Its description in RNAcentral is "bacterial SSU rRNA". It matches the Rfam family "Archaeal small subunit ribosomal RNA", at positions 151 to 828 of the family's 1478-position model. The record is from RNAcentral.
CCGCGAUAGGUCACUACUUCUGGAAUGGGUAAUGACUCAAACCUAUAUGGCCCCUGGAUUGGACUGCGGCCGAUCAGGCUGUUGGUGAGGUAAUGGCCCACCAAACCUGUAACCGGUACGGGCUCUGAGAGGAGGAGCCCGGAGAUGGGCACUGAGACAAGGGCCCAGGCCCUAUGGGGCGCAGCAGGCGCGAAACCUCUGCAAUAGGCGAAAGCCUGACAGGGUUACUCUGAGUGAUCUCCGUUAAGGAGAUCUUUUGGCACCUCUAAAAUGGUGCAGAAUAAGGGGUGGGCAAGUCUGGUGUCAGCCGCCGCGGUAAUACCAGCACCCCGAGUGGUCGGGACGUUUAUUGGGCCUAAAGCAUCCGUAGCCGGUUCUACAAGUCUUCCGUUAAAUCCAGCUGUUUAACAGAUGGGCUGCGGAAGAUACUAUGGAGCUAGGAGGCGGGAGAGGCAAGCGGUACUCGAUGGGUAGGGGUAAAAUCCGUUGAUCCAUUGAAGACCACCAGUGGCGAAGGCGGCUUGCCAGAACGCGCUCGACGGUGAGGGAUGAAAGCUGGGGGAGCAAACCGGAUUAGAUACCCGGGUAGUCCCAGCUGUAAACGAUGCAGACUCGGUGAUGAGUUGGCUACAUGCCAUCUCAGUGCCGCAGGGAAGCCGUUAAGUUUGCCGCC